UACGAAGGGGGCUAGCGUUGCUCGGAAUCACUGGGCGUAAAGGGUGCGUAGGCGGGUCUUUAAGUCAGGGGUGAAAUCCUGGAGCUCAACUCCAGAACUGCCUUUGAUACUGAGGAUCUUGAGUUCGGGAGAGGUGAGUGGAACUGCGAGUGUAGAGGUGAAAUUCGUAGAUAUUCGCAAGAACACCAGUGGCGAAGGCGGCUCACUGGCCCGAUACUGACGCUGAGGCACGAAAGCGUGGGUAGCGAACGGG
RNAcentral lists this ribosomal RNA (253 nucleotides) under uncultured bacterium. Its description in RNAcentral is "partial 16S ribosomal RNA". It matches the Rfam family "Bacterial small subunit ribosomal RNA", at positions 524 to 776 of the family's 1533-position model. The record is from RNAcentral.